UCUCUUGGGUGAUAUUACAUUGAUGUGCUCCCUCCCUCCCCCUCUCUCCCUCUGCAUGCUCUCAUCUCGUCCUGCAGGAAUAGACUCUUCCUCCGCCGCUGCAGCCUCACUCUGACACAACCGGCAUGUCUGCAAACUGAGAGCCGCACAGGAAGACACACAGAGGCACAAUCCCCUCUUUAAGACGCACAACUUGUGUUUUCCUUCUCCCAGCUGAAGCACAAAAAGACGAGUGGUAAUAACACUGCGAAGAGGCAUUUUUUUUUGGAGGGAUCAAGACUUCGAGGAGGAUCAAAACAAGGUCUGUCCCUGAUAACCUGACCACUGAAGGAA
Long non-coding RNA from Notothenia coriiceps (black rockcod), 333 nucleotides. RefSeq lists it as uncharacterized. The transcript is spliced from 2 exons. Lineage: Eukaryota; Metazoa; Chordata; Actinopteri; Perciformes; Nototheniidae. The record is from RefSeq and is a predicted model, not a curated record.